RNAcentral lists this ribosomal RNA (497 nucleotides) under uncultured bacterium. RNAcentral's name for it is "partial 16S ribosomal RNA". It matches the Rfam family "Bacterial small subunit ribosomal RNA", at positions 28 to 507 of the family's 1533-position model. The record is from RNAcentral.
GAUGAACGCUGGCGGCGUGCCUAAUACAUGCAAGUCGAGCGAACGGACGAGAAGCUUGCUUCUCUGAUGUUAGCGGCGGACGGGUGAGUAACACGUGGAUAACCUACCUAUAAGACUGGGAUAACUUCGGGAAACCGGAGCUAAUACCGGAUGAUAUUUUGAACCGCAUGGUUCAAAAGUGAAAGACGGUCUUGCUGUCACUUAUAGAUUGAUCCGCGCUGCAUUAGCUAGUUGGUAAGGUAACGGCUUACCAAGGCAACGAUGCAUAGCCGACCUGAGAGGGUGAUCGGCCACACUGGAACUGAGACACGGUCCAGACUCCUACGGGAGGCAGCAGUAGGGAAUCUUCCGCAAUGGGCGAAAGCCUGGCGGAGCAACGCCGCGUGAGUGAUGAAGGUAUUCGGAUCGUAAAACUAUGUUAUUAGGGAAGAACAUAUGUGUAAGUAACUGUGCACAUCUUGACGGUACCUAAUCAGAAAGCCACGGCUAACUACGUG